UAAACUAAAAGUGUCCCUUUUGGGUUUUAACAAUUAUCUUUAACACUAACAAUUAACAAAUAAACCAAACAAACCCAAAAUGUCCCUAAAACGGGCUACACGCUCACAGGUGGACUUCUAAUAAUCUAACAAAACCAAGCUCCUGAUAACACAACACAAAACCUCCUUAUUUCAGGCAG
Molecule: long non-coding RNA, 179 nt
Organism: Melanotaenia boesemani (Boeseman's rainbowfish)
Lineage: Eukaryota; Metazoa; Chordata; Actinopteri; Atheriniformes; Melanotaeniidae
Exons: 2
Source: RefSeq, a predicted model, not a curated record